UAGGUAAUUUUUUCGGUAUCUUUUACCUUACCUAGGUAAAAAAAUAUUUGGCUACCUUUUACCUUACCUAGGUACGAAUUUUCGUUAACCUUAAGUUUUAGCUAUGUAAGGUAUUUAGGUACUUCCAUACGUGUAUGUAAAUAUUGUGCAUAUUAGAAAUAGCCCUGCUUCACAGCAAUGCAAUCGAAAACUUAGAAAUAUGAUAGUUCCACCACUUACUCACAGAGGUCUUUAUGGUAAGAACGCAAAAAUAUUUUCCGUUGGAAUUUGGUAUAAUGCUAAAUUAGCAAUGCCGUUGCUACCUAAACAGUGCACUUUUAUCGAUGACAUCGGUUCCUAGAAAACGCCACAACAAAUCUUAAAAUGAGCAAAGAAGACGCAGAAAAAAAGGAGCUACCAUUAAUUUUAAAUGGUACUUUCUUUUUACCGGACGGGAAGUGCAAACUGUGUUUGAACAAAACUAUCAAAUUUGAUGAAAAGUCAACCGGCAACUUGCAUAAACAUCUGAAGAGGGUUCACCCGAACAGUUAUUCUUCGUAUGAAGCUUUGAAAGCGAAAAAAUUCAAAAAUAGAAGUGAAAAUUUCCGGUGAGGCAAAAGAUCGAAAAUCCUGCUUCAGUACUCUUAACUCAGUCCAGGUAAAUAAUGAAAUUUGUGACUACAUUGUAACGGAAAUGUUACCACUAUGUCACGUCGAACAAGCAAGCUUCAGAUCCCUUCUGUCAACAAUAUCAGGGCGAUCUAUUAAUAUACCGUGCCGGAAAACAAUCAAGACAAUUUUAGAGAAGCGCAGAGCCGAAUAUGAGCAAAAUUUGACGAAUAUUUUUAAAGAGGUGGCUUUUAUUUGUACGACAGCUGACAUCUGGAGCGCCAACAACAAAAGCUAUUUUGGUGUCACCGGACAUUAUAUUGAUUCUACAUUAGCUAGACGUUCACUUGUGCUCGCAUGUAAACGAGUUCGUUUUUCUCAUACCCAUGAACUAAUUGGAAAAACUUUGGCAGAUGUUCACUCUCAAUACGGCUUAAAAGAU
This is a long non-coding RNA of Drosophila gunungcola (fruit fly), 1030 nucleotides long. RefSeq lists it as uncharacterized. Lineage: Eukaryota; Metazoa; Arthropoda; Insecta; Diptera; Drosophilidae. The record is from RefSeq and is a predicted model, not a curated record. The transcript has 3 exons.